AGAGUAGUAUUUUAACUAAAAAAUCUAAUUUGCACUUAGAACAUGCCCCCCCGCCUAUUCUA
Molecule: transfer RNA, 62 nt
Filed under: Alectorobius guaporensis
Lineage: Eukaryota; Metazoa; Arthropoda; Arachnida; Ixodida; Argasidae
Description: tRNA-Ala
Source: RNAcentral